ACUCAAAGGAAUAGACGGGGGCCCGCACAAGCAGUGGAGUAUGUGGUUUAAUUCGAAGCAACGCGAAGAACCUUACCAGGGCUUGACAUCCCUUGACAGAUGCAGAGAUGCAUUUUCCCUUCGGGGCAAGGAGACAGGUGGUGCAUGGUUGUCGUCAGCUCGUGUCGUGAGAUGUUGGGUUAAGUCCCGCAACGAGCGCAACCCCUGUUGUUAGUUGCCAUCAUUAAGUUGGGCACUCUAGCGAAACUGCCGGUGACAAAUCGGAGGAAGGUGGGGACGACGUCAAAUCAUCAUGCCCCUUAUGUCCUGGGCUACACACGUACUACAAUGGCUAUUACAGCAGGAUGCGAAGGCGCAAGCCGGAGCGAAUCCCAAAAAAUAGUCCCAGUUCAGAUUGUGGGCUGAAACCCGCCCACAUGAAGUAGGAAUUGCUAGUAAUUGCAGGUCAGCAUACUGCAGUGAAUACGUUCCCGGGCCUUGUACACACCGCCCGU
This 494-nucleotide ribosomal RNA is filed under the name uncultured bacterium. RNAcentral's name for it is "bacterial SSU rRNA". It matches the Rfam family "Bacterial small subunit ribosomal RNA", at positions 899 to 1397 of the family's 1533-position model. The record is from RNAcentral.